GACGAACGCUGGCGGCGUGCUUAACACAUGCAAGUCGAACGGAAAGGCCCUGCUUUUGUGGGGUGCUCGAGUGGCGAACGGGUGUGUAACACGUGAGUAACCUGCCCUUGACUUUGGGAUAACUUCAGGAAACUGGGGCUAAUACCGGAUAGGAGCUCCUGCUGCAUGGUGGGGGUUGGAAAGUUUCGGCGGUUGGGGAUGGACUCGCGGCUUAUCAGCUUGUUGGUGGGGUAGUGGCUUACCAAGGCUUUGACGGGUAGCCGGCCUGAGAGGGUGACCGGCCACAUUGGGACUGAGAUACGGCCCAGACUCCUACGGGAGGCAGCAGUGGGGAAUAUUGCACAAUGGGCGGAAGCCUGAUGCAGCAACGCCGCGUGCGGGAUGACGGCCUUCGGGUUGUAAACCGCUUUCGCCUGGGACGAAGCGUGAGUGACGGUAAUGGGUAAAGAAGCACCGGCUAACUACG
This 466-nucleotide ribosomal RNA is filed under the name uncultured bacterium. Its description in RNAcentral is "partial 16S ribosomal RNA". It matches the Rfam family "Bacterial small subunit ribosomal RNA", at positions 28 to 505 of the family's 1533-position model. The record is from RNAcentral.